AUUUUUUGUUCCAUUUGCAGAUUCAAUUUGCAUUUUAAUUUCCCCCUGGUUUAUCAAAGUCCAGCCAGUGACAUGAGCUGUUGUUUCUGUUCAGGUUGAACGCACCCCCGUGAGGAUCAGCUCUGGAUGGAAAGUCAGGUUACUGUCAAAGGGAACAUCUCCUCCACCUUUAGAAUGCUGGAAGAAGAUAGAGAUUUACAUCCUGUAAUAUUUCAUGUGAUUUCUUGUACCAGUUAGACUGUGAUUUUGAGCUAAAAUAAACUUUGGUUAUGUCAAACUACUUAACUAAGG
Molecule: long non-coding RNA, 291 nt
Filed under: Phascolarctos cinereus (koala)
Lineage: Eukaryota; Metazoa; Chordata; Mammalia; Diprotodontia; Phascolarctidae
Description: lncRNA (ENSPCIG00000030946.1)
Source: RNAcentral